RNAcentral lists this ribosomal RNA (471 nucleotides) under uncultured bacterium. Its description in RNAcentral is "bacterial SSU rRNA". It matches the Rfam family "Bacterial small subunit ribosomal RNA", at positions 355 to 823 of the family's 1533-position model. The record is from RNAcentral.
UGGGGAAUAUUGGACAAUGGGGGCAACCCUGAUCCAGCAAUGCCGCGUGUGUGAAGAAGGCCUGCGGGUUGUAAAGCACUUUUGGCAGGGAUGAAAAGCACUGGAUUAAUAACCCAGUGUGUUGACCUAACCUGCAGAAGAAGCACCGGCUAACUCUGUGCCAGCAGCCGCGGUAAUACAGGGGGGUGCGAGCGUUAAUCGGAAUUACUGGGCGUAAAGGGCGCGUAGGCGGUCGAGUAAGUCGGAUGUGAAAUCCCCGGGCUUAACCUGGGAAUUGCAUUCGAUACUGCUUGGCUAGAGUGUGGAAGAGGGAAGCGGAAUUUCCGGUGUAGCGGUGAAAUGCGUAGAUAUCGGAAGGAACACCAGUGGCGAAGGCGGCUUCCUGGUCCAACACUGACGCUGAGGCGCGAAAGCGUGGGGAGCAAACAGGAUUAGAUACCCAGGUAGUCCCUGAGCGGGCUGGCAAGGCGC